Molecule: unclassified non-coding RNA, 233 nt
Filed under: plant metagenome
Description: partial contains small subunit ribosomal RNA, internal transcribed spacer 1, and 5.8S ribosomal RNA
Rfam family: Eukaryotic small subunit ribosomal RNA (bases 1-54)
Source: RNAcentral
GGAAGUAAAAGCCGUAACAAGGUUUCCGUAGGUGAACCUGCGGAAGGAUCAUUCAUAAUAAAGUGUUUUAUGGCACUUUUUAAAAAUCCAUAUCCACCUUGUGUGCAAUGUUAGAUCUCGUCAAUCUUGGCGAGAUUUUUAUACACCAACUCAUUCUUUAACUAAUUUGUCUGAAAAAUAUUAUGAAUACUUAAUUCAAAAUACAACUUUCAACAACGGAUCUCUUGGCUCUC